RNAcentral lists this ribosomal RNA (463 nucleotides) under uncultured bacterium. RNAcentral describes it as "partial 16S ribosomal RNA". It matches the Rfam family "Bacterial small subunit ribosomal RNA", at positions 28 to 507 of the family's 1533-position model. The record is from RNAcentral.
GACGAACGCUGGCGGCGUGCUUAACACAUGCAAGUCGAACGGAAAGGCCUUUUCGGAGGUACUCGAGUGGCGAACGGGUGAGUAACACGUGGGUGAUCUGCCCUGCACUCUGGGAUAAGCCUGGGAAACUGGGUCUAAUACCGGAUAGGACCGCACUUUAGUGUGCGUGGUGGAAAGUUUUUUCGGUGUAGGAUGAGCCCGCGGCCUAUCAGCUUGUUGGUGGGGUAAUGGCCUACCAAGGCGGCGACGGGUAGCCGGACUGAGAGGUUGGUCGGCCACAUUGGGACUGAGAUACGGCCCAGACUCCUACGGGAGGCAGCAGUGGGGAAGAUUGCACAAUGGGCGCAAGCCUGAUGAAGCGACGCCGCGGGGGGGAUGACGGCCUUCGGGUUGUAAACUCCUUUCGCCAGGGACGAAGCGUUUUGUGACGGUACCUGGAGAAGAAGCACCGGCUAACUACGUG